CCUCUCGUGGUGUAACAGUAACACAUUCGGCAUGUAUUCGAGAGAUCCAGGUUCGAAUCCCGGCGAGGACA
Molecule: transfer RNA, 71 nt
Filed under: Stegodyphus mimosarum
Lineage: Eukaryota; Metazoa; Arthropoda; Arachnida; Araneae; Eresidae
Rfam family: tRNA
About the family: Transfer RNA (tRNA) molecules are approximately 80 nucleotides in length. Their secondary structure includes four short double-helical elements and three loops (D, anti-codon, and T loops). Further hydrogen bonds mediate the characteristic L-shaped molecular structure. tRNAs have two regions of fundamental functional importance: the anti-codon, which is responsible for specific mRNA codon recognition, and the 3' end, to which the tRNAs corresponding amino acid is attached (by aminoacyl-tRNA synthetases). tRNAs cope with the degeneracy of the genetic code in two manners: having more than one tRNA (with a specific anti-codon) for a particular amino acid; and 'wobble' base-pairing, i.e. permitting non-standard base-pairing at the 3rd anti-codon position.
Source: Rfam by way of RNAcentral